ACAGACACUCACAGAUCCAAUCAGGAAAAUGUAUACAACUCGCAGUGAAUGCUUUAUCGAAUUUUAGGUGAAGAGCUCUAUGUGAGGGUUUAUGAUGUUGAUCCCAACCCUGCCAAGGAGAAGCCUCCUCCACAGAAUCUCCUUCUAUGUGGUUAGUCAUGUUAAAACCUCCAAGUUUCUUCUACUUGGCUGUCCCCUUUUUCUCCUUUACAAACUUUCACUAUUGACUUAACUUCUUGUCUGGUAAAUUCAUACCUUCGUAUAGACGUUUUAGCCACUCUGAUUAUAUGGUUGUGGAAAUGAGCAAAGGGUAUUUGGAAAUUACCUUGGCAUAAAGUUUAUUAUAAUCAUUGGAUGUCUUAAUCAUUUACUAAGUUGCUUUUGAACAUGUAUAUUACUAUACUUGUAUGUAUCUUUAAUUGCUGAAGAAUCAAUGUUAGCUAGACUUUAUCAAAGUAAUUGAAGCAAGUAACAAAGAUCCAAAGUCUACCUUGAUCACUAUACAUAUAGUACAUUCUUAAUUUGAUCCUUUUACAGAUAGUACAUUCUUAAUUUAGUUCCUAUCUAUUUAGCGUAUUCUUAAUAUGAAUUGUUGUUAUCUUGUCUCAUAAGUUUCAAAUUUUUUUGUGAUUUUAAAUUUCAGUUUAAAAUCUAUAAAUACAAAUUUGAGAAUUUUUAAAUAUGUUUCUUGUUGUGUUUUUUUGUUUUUUCAGCUUUUCUUUCAGUAUGAUGUAAGAGAUAAAAUCAUCCAUCCUGUCAAAGCCGAGGUACAU
Molecule: long non-coding RNA, 773 nt
Filed under: Glycine max (soybean)
Lineage: Eukaryota; Viridiplantae; Streptophyta; Magnoliopsida; Fabales; Fabaceae
Description: long non-coding RNA (GMAX_LNC002802)
Source: RNAcentral